GCCGUCGUGGCCCCGAGUGGUAUAAGGCGAUGGACUAGAAAUCCAUUGGGGUCUCCCCGCACAGGUUGGAAUCCUGUCAACUGCG
This 85-nucleotide transfer RNA is filed under the name Ixodes scapularis (black-legged tick). It matches the Rfam family "tRNA". From Rfam's summary of the family: Transfer RNA (tRNA) molecules are approximately 80 nucleotides in length. Their secondary structure includes four short double-helical elements and three loops (D, anti-codon, and T loops). Further hydrogen bonds mediate the characteristic L-shaped molecular structure. tRNAs have two regions of fundamental functional importance: the anti-codon, which is responsible for specific mRNA codon recognition, and the 3' end, to which the tRNAs corresponding amino acid is attached (by aminoacyl-tRNA synthetases). tRNAs cope with the degeneracy of the genetic code in two manners: having more than one tRNA (with a specific anti-codon) for a particular amino acid; and 'wobble' base-pairing, i.e. permitting non-standard base-pairing at the 3rd anti-codon position. Lineage: Eukaryota; Metazoa; Arthropoda; Arachnida; Ixodida; Ixodidae. The record is from Rfam by way of RNAcentral.